ACACCUCAACUCUUCAUGGUUUUCCAUGAUGAGCUUGGACUUUGGGGGUCUUGCUGGCCUGCAGUCAGCUCCUCUCAAAUGAAUCAGCUUGCCAGUGUUUGGUGGGCAUCACAGGUGUGAUAACUAUCUACGCUUGUGAUUUUCCACCAGGUAACCUUCAGCAGUGGAGGUUCGCUGGAGCUCACAGAUAUGUCUCUCCUCAGUGAGGACAGCCCUUUGAAU
Molecule: unclassified non-coding RNA, 222 nt
Filed under: uncultured Thelephoraceae
Lineage: Eukaryota; Fungi; Basidiomycota; Agaricomycetes; Thelephorales; Thelephoraceae
Description: sequence contains ITS2
Source: RNAcentral